Molecule: long non-coding RNA, 628 nt
Organism: Episyrphus balteatus (marmalade hoverfly)
Lineage: Eukaryota; Metazoa; Arthropoda; Insecta; Diptera; Syrphidae
Exons: 2
Source: RefSeq, a predicted model, not a curated record
UUUUUCAACUAAUAGAAUGAUUUGAGAAAUAAUUCGAAUAUCCUGUUUGUCAUUUUCUAAAACAAACUUAUAAAAUCGUAAUUUUAUUAACGAGGUUAGAAACAGUUAAACAAAAAUAAAGGAUAUAAAUGAAAUUUUUAUCAGCUAACAAGUUAAUACUUUUUGAGAUGAAACCCUAUUCCCGUCCUUUAACUAUUUUAAUUUUAUUUUGAAUUUUAAAAAUUGCAAAAAAAUUCUUAUCAAGAAAGUUGUUUUUUAUCUUUUCUUUACAAAUUUGUAUCUCGAAUUGUGACUUUGUUACCCAGAAUGUUUUUCAGAGGGAAUUUAUAAAGCCUCCCAGAGUAUCUCUGUCUUGAAAAAUUUCAACUGACCUUAAAUUUCCAUUCCUGAAAAAUAAUUACACACCUACAUGAAUUGGAGAGUUUUAUAGGCGAGAAAAUGACAACGACAGGACGGGUAAAACACACUACACUUUGUGUCAACAAAUUCAAAAAUUUUCAAAUCACUUGCGACCGACCAGUAUAGAUAAAUGUCAUCCGGCUGACCGUUCGUUCUUUGAAUACAAGCUGCAAACUGUAUGCAAGCUACAUAGCGCUAUGUUUAAUUCAGGGGACCCCGAAAAAAAACA